UGAGCAUGUAUAAAGGGUCUUUUCAUUGUAAAGCUGAAAUAUACAUGAGAUGGUUGAAAAAUGCAUUUUCUUUUUAUGAUCUCUGCAGGCACAUUUCAGACACCAUUUGUUAUCAGAAAAUGAAAUAAAGCUACAGACUAAAGAGACGCCAAAACUAGGGGGGUUUGGGGGGGGAGCCAAUUUGGCUCCCCCUGUGCUAUUUGAGAUUCCAUUUUAAGUUUUACGAACAGAGGGGUUGUCCUUUCACCAAGUAGAAUCUUUUGGCCUUUGGGAUAAAAACCCACAUGACUAGGAACACAAAGAAAAGAAACAAAUCCUCUUUUGGCCCCAAGAUAUGAAGAUGACUUAUGUCCAUUCCUCUCAGUGCUUGCUUUCUUUCCAAUUUCAACUUUUUCCCAAAUGUUU
Molecule: long non-coding RNA, 405 nt
Filed under: Glycine max (soybean)
Lineage: Eukaryota; Viridiplantae; Streptophyta; Magnoliopsida; Fabales; Fabaceae
Description: long non-coding RNA (GMAX_LNC002413)
Source: RNAcentral